UACGUAGGGGGCGAGCGUUGUCCGGAAUCAGUGGGCGUAAAGAGCGUGUAGGUGGACUGGAAGGUCUGGUGUGAAAGCCCGGGGCUCAACCCCGGAAUGUCUUUCGAAACUGUUGAGCUAGAGUGCAGAAGAGGCAACUGGAAUUCCCAGUGUAGCGGUGAAAUGCGUAGAUAUUGGGAAGAACACCUGAGGCGAAGGCGGGUUGCUGGGCUGACACUGACGCUGAGGCGCGAAAGCCAGGGGAGCGAACGGG
Molecule: ribosomal RNA, 253 nt
Filed under: uncultured bacterium
Lineage: Bacteria
Description: partial 16S ribosomal RNA
Rfam family: Bacterial small subunit ribosomal RNA
Source: RNAcentral